UACGGAGGGUGCAAGCGUUAUCCGGAUUCACUGGGUUUAAAGGGUGCGUAGGUGGGUCUGUAAGUCAGUGGUGAAAUCUCCGUGCUUAACAUGGAAACUGCCAUUGAUACUAUAGAUCUUGAAUUAUCUGGAGGUUAGCGGAAUAUGUCAUGUAGCGGUGAAAUGCUUAGAUAUGACAUAGAACACCAAUUGCGAAGGCAGCUGGCUACAGGUACAUUGACACUGAGGCACGAAAGCGUGGGGAUCAAACAGG
Molecule: ribosomal RNA, 253 nt
Filed under: uncultured bacterium
Lineage: Bacteria
Description: partial 16S ribosomal RNA
Rfam family: Bacterial small subunit ribosomal RNA
Source: RNAcentral